UGGGGGGCGCGGCACCAAAUGUCACAUCAAGCCAGGGCCCCCUGGCCCAGCCACCCGCUCCUUCCCCGGUACCUCGGGUCCCCGGAUGCCAGGCUCAAGAUGGCCACACGGGGGCGACGAGCAUCUAUCCCCUUUCCCCAAGGCUUCAGGGCCAGGCCUGAGCCACACUCCCUGGAGAGCCACACUCCCUGCCCCCGCAGUCCCCACUGCGGUACCACUGGCCCGUCUGUCUCAGGCACUCAGACAAGGCACACAUGUUUACGUCACACAAAGACACUCCGUGCACCAAGUUCACACGGCCGCUCCUGUCGGCAAAUACUGAUCACCACCUGCUGUUCGCCAGGGGCCUGCCGCUCAGAGCCCUGGGCCCGCAUCACUAACCCAACAGGCCCCACUCUUCCAGGAAGGCUUCUCUGCUGCCCCGGGUGCCGGGUCCUGCCUCUGCUGAGUCCCAGGAUUCACAUAGGGCCUGUUCUCUGCCAGCCGUCAGCAGGCGACAAGGAAUUAAUCCACACAGCCCUCCCCGUCGCUGCGUCAUAGCCCCAGGUACACACUGCCUCUGACCCAGUUACGAUGCAUGUGACUUAAGAGGCACAGUGGGGAGCGAAAGAAACGGCAUGGGCCUUGGGGCUCAGCAGGCUUGCCCUUGAUCCUGCCCUGCGCCACUUUUUAGGUGGGUGACCUUGAGCGAGUCACUUGUCUGGGGAAAAUAACAACAAUGGCAAUAGCAAGGAACUCACGCUGAAAUGGGGCUUACUACCUGCCGGGCCCUGGACUCAGGAUGAGCUCAUCUUAUCUUCCCAAUUCAACGGGUAGGUGUCAUCAUCACCCCCAUUCUAGGGCUGAGGAGAACGAGGCACAGAGAGCCUGAAUAACUCGUCCAAGGUCACGCAGCUCGCGUUGGGACUGGCUCCAAAGCCGGUGCUCUGAACCACUGUUUUCCCAAGCCAGAAUGGUAGAGCAUCUCAUCCGGAUGCCUUGGUAUCCAUGUGGGGAAACCGAGGCCCAGGAGAGCGCAAAGCCUGAGCCGAAGACGCCCAUGCAUUCGCUCAGCUCCUGCUGGGAGGUGACCGAGUGGCAGGCACUGUCCAGGCGCUUCACGGGUAUUAACUCACAGCAGUAGGUAGACCAGCAACUUCCUUCAGGCGGGGACUCCAGGCCAGAGAGUAAACUAAGACACAUCCACCUCCCCGAGUGGUCGAGGGCACAUACACCUGGCAUCGGUGGGAACUUGACCUGAAACUAUUUUGCCUUCAUCACCAUUGCCUCCGCUUGAAGGAGCGGCUGUGGACUCGGUGGCUGUGAACUUUCCAGCAGCAGGCGGUGGAGGCCCCUGGCUGGCCCCCUGUUCCUCCCAUGUAGCCGGCCCUACCGUCCACACUUCAGCCGACUGUGCCAUGCCGCGGGACCUCACGUGCCUUGCACCUCGAGUGUGUGUGUGUGUGUGUCCUCGCUGGCCCCGAGGGAGGCCCUUGGUUUCUGGUCUGUGUGGCUGAAGGCAGGUGGGUGUCACCCAGCCUUCCCGGCAGCAGUUGUGGCUCUGGCCCUGUGGGCUGGGUCUUCUGCCACACGCCGGGAGGGCUUCCCAAGCAAGAAACAAGACCGAACCGCCUACCACUUCCUGUUGGCAGGUGGCUGGAGCUGGGUGCCUCUCUUACGAAAGCCAUACCCAAUGCACAACCCAACUCAGAGCUACUUUGGAGCCUGCCUUCCCUACCCUCCCCCACCACAUGCACACACAGUGCCAGCUUGGCAAAAUGUCACUUACUGAGUCCUCAUAAGAACCCUGAGAAGAAGGGCAAGAUGCUCCCUCUGUUUUUUUUUUUUUUUUUUUUUCUUAAAAACACAGCUAUAUUAGUACACACCACAAAAUUUACCGGUAGUAGGCGUACGAUUCAGUGAUUUUAGCAAACGUCCGUUGCCGCAAUCAAGUGCUGCUUUCUGUUUUAUAGAUGAAGAACCUAGGAGGUUGGUGAUUUACUAUGGUUCUGGAAAAGACAGCCACUGUCCACCAAAACUUUGUGUUCUCUCUUUUAUAAUAGAGCUGCUGCUGGAGGGUGGCUGUCGGCAGGGUACUGCAUUUCCUGCCUGCCUUGCAUCCGGAUGUGGCCAUGUGACCAGUUUUCCCCAAUGGAAUGCGAGCAGCGAUGAUAGAUGUGACUGUCUUUUAAGACUGGGAGGAGUUUCUCCAUUCUCUCAUCGGUCCUAAAAGACAGUGGAGCUACAAGAUAGGAAGGAGGAGCCUGGGUGCCUGGCUGGAGGUCUCCUGGCCAAGAGGAUUACCCACUCUGCAUUUUAUGGCAGCCAGGAGUGAAUGGCUAUUGUGUUAGGCUGCUGAGAUACAGGGGCUUGCUUGUUACAGCGGCUAGCACUACUCUAAUCCAAGGAUUAUGUAGCAAGGAGGCCAGAAAGGUAUGAUUUGAAGCUCGGUUUGUCCACUUGCCUGGAGGAUGGCCAGUCUCAAAAGAGAGGGGGCCCUGCGCUUACCCUGUCUCCUGGGAGGAUAAUAAUACUGGCAAAAGUU
Molecule: long non-coding RNA, 2524 nt
Organism: Leopardus geoffroyi (Geoffroy's cat)
Lineage: Eukaryota; Metazoa; Chordata; Mammalia; Carnivora; Felidae
Exons: 3
Source: RefSeq, a predicted model, not a curated record